GCCCUGGCUCUAUUCAGAGCCAUAAAUAGAACACAUCACAUUAUU
Molecule: non-coding RNA, 45 nt
Organism: Paxillus rubicundulus Ve08.2h10
Lineage: Eukaryota; Fungi; Basidiomycota; Agaricomycetes; Boletales; Paxillaceae
Source: Rfam